GACAAUGAAAUCUAGAGUAAAAACCAAGCUGGUCCAAGGUGUCCUGCAGGCUAUAAAAUGCAGUUUAAUCGGAAGAGCAUGUGUAGGGAAAGAG
Long non-coding RNA from Lynx canadensis (Canada lynx), 94 nucleotides. RefSeq lists it as uncharacterized. The record is from RefSeq and is a predicted model, not a curated record. Lineage: Eukaryota; Metazoa; Chordata; Mammalia; Carnivora; Felidae. The transcript has 3 exons.